This 414-nucleotide ribosomal RNA is filed under the name uncultured bacterium. RNAcentral's name for it is "bacterial SSU rRNA". It matches the Rfam family "Bacterial small subunit ribosomal RNA", at positions 355 to 775 of the family's 1533-position model. The record is from RNAcentral.
UGGGGAAUUUUCCGCAAUGGGCGCAAGCCUGACCGAGCGACGCCGCGUGCGCGAUGAAGGCCUUCGGGUUGUAAAGCGCUGUCGAGGGGGAGGAAAGCCCGUAAGGGUCUGACCUAUCCCUGGAGGAAGCACGGGCUAAGUUCGUGCCAGCAGCCGCGGUAAGACGAACCGUGCAAACGUUGUUCGGAAUCACUGGGCUUAAAGGGCGCGUAGGCGGCUUGCCAAGUCCGGGGUGAAAGCUUUCGGCUUAACCGGAAAAGUGCCUUGGAUACUGGCAGGCUGGAGGGAGGUAGGGGCAUGCGGAACUUCCGGUGGAGCGGUGAAAUGCGUUGAUAUCGGAAGGAACGCCGGUGGCGAAAGCGGCGUGCUGGACCUCUUCUGACGCUGAGGCGCGAAAGCUAGGGGAGCGAACGG